GAUGAAGAACGCAGCGAAAUGCGAUAAGUAAUGCGAAUUGCAGAAUUCAGUGAAUCAUCCAAUCUUUGAACGCACAUUGCGCCCGCUAGUAUUCUGGCGGGCAUGCCUGUCUGAGCGUCAUUUCAACCCUCGCCCCCGGCUUUUGCUGGGAGCGGUGUUGGGGAUCGGCCGCCCGUCACUGGGAGGCCGGCCCCGAAAUAGAGUGGCGACCACGCCGUGUGCUCCUCUGCGUAGUAGUAAAUCACCUCGCAGGCGGACAGCGGUGCGGCCUGCCGUAAAACCCCCAACUCUUUCUGGUUGACCUCAGAUCAGGUAGGAAUACCCGCUGAACUUAAGCAUAUCAAUAAGCGGAGGA
Molecule: unclassified non-coding RNA, 355 nt
Filed under: soil metagenome
Description: partial contains 5.8S ribosomal RNA, internal transcribed spacer 2, and large subunit ribosomal RNA
Rfam family: 5.8S ribosomal RNA (bases 1-120)
Source: RNAcentral